GUCUACGGCCGUGCCACCCUGAACAAGCCCGGUGUCUGAUCUCGGAAGCUAAGCAGGGUUAGUACUUGGAUGGGAGACCACCUAGGAAGACCAGGUGCUAUAGGCA
RNAcentral lists this ribosomal RNA (106 nucleotides) under Pteropus alecto (black flying fox). Lineage: Eukaryota; Metazoa; Chordata; Mammalia; Chiroptera; Pteropodidae. The record is from RNAcentral.